This 1404-nucleotide ribosomal RNA is filed under the name Lactiplantibacillus plantarum. RNAcentral's name for it is "bacterial SSU rRNA". It matches the Rfam family "Bacterial small subunit ribosomal RNA", at positions 59 to 1431 of the family's 1533-position model. The record is from RNAcentral. Lineage: Bacteria; Bacillati; Bacillota; Bacilli; Lactobacillales; Lactobacillaceae.
CAGUCGACGACUCUGGUAUUGAUUGGUGCUUGCAUCAUGAUUUACAUUUGAGUGAGUGGCGAACUGGUGAGUAACACGUGGGAAACCUGCCCAGAAGCGGGGGAUAACACCUGGAAACAGAUGCUAAUACCGCAUAACAACUUGGACCGCAUGGUCCGAGUUUGAAAGAUGGCUUCGGCUAUCACUUUUGGAUGGUCCCGCGGCGUAUUAGCUAGAUGGUGGGGUAACGGCUCACCAUGGCAAUGAUACGUAGCCGACCUGAGAGGGUAAUCGGCCACAUUGGGACUGAGACACGGCCCAAACUCCUACGGGAGGCAGCAGUAGGGAAUCUUCCACAAUGGACGAAAGUCUGAUGGAGCAACGCCGCGUGAGUGAAGAAGGGUUUCGGCUCGUAAAACUCUGUUGUUAAAGAAGAACAUAUCUGAGAGUAACUGUUCAGGUAUUGACGGUAUUUAACCAGAAAGCCACGGCUAACUACGUGCCAGCAGCCGCGGUAAUACGUAGGUGGCAAGCGUUGUCCGGAUUUAUUGGGCGUAAAGCGAGCGCAGGCGGUUUUUUAAGUCUGAUGUGAAAGCCUUCGGCUCAACCGAAGAAGUGCAUCGGAAACUGGGAAACUUGAGUGCAGAAGAGGACAGUGGAACUCCAUGUGUAGCGGUGAAAUGCGUAGAUAUAUGGAAGAACACCAGUGGCGAAGGCGGCUGUCUGGUCUGUAACUGACGCUGAGGCUCGAAAGUAUGGGUAGCAAACAGGAUUAGAUACCCUGGUAGUCCAUACCGUAAACGAUGAAUGCUAAGUGUUGGAGGGUUUCCGCCCUUCAGUGCUGCAGCUAACGCAUUAAGCAUUCCGCCUGGGGAGUACGGCCGCAAGGCUGAAACUCAAAGGAAUUGACGGGGGCCCGCACAAGCGGUGGAGCAUGUGGUUUAAUUCGAAGCUACGCGAAGAACCUUACCAGGUCUUGACAUACUAUGCAAAUCUAAGAGAUUAGACGUUCCCUUCGGGGACAUGGAUACAGGUGGUGCAUGGUUGUCGUCAGCUCGUGUCGUGAGAUGUUGGGUUAAGUCCCGCAACGAGCGCAACCCUUAUUAUCAGUUGCCAGCAUUAAGUUGGGCACUCUGGUGAGACUGCCGGUGACAAACCGGAGGAAGGUGGGGAUGACGUCAAAUCAUCAUGCCCCUUAUGACCUGGGCUACACACGUGCUACAAUGGAUGGUACAACGAGUUGCGAACUCGCGAGAGUAAGCUAAUCUCUUAAAGCCAUUCUCAGUUCGGAUUGUAGGCUGCAACUCGCCUACAUGAAGUCGGAAUCGCUAGUAAUCGCGGAUCAGCAUGCCGCGGUGAAUACGUUCCCGGGCCUUGUACACACCGCCCGUCACACCAUGAGAGUUUGUAACACCCAAAGUCGGU